RNAcentral lists this long non-coding RNA (1203 nucleotides) under Struthio camelus australis. RNAcentral's name for it is "lncRNA (ENSSCUG00000001693.1)". The record is from RNAcentral. Lineage: Eukaryota; Metazoa; Chordata; Aves; Struthioniformes; Struthionidae.
AUGCCUUGCACCAACUCAAUGGCAAGUGGAAAAGGAAGCACAGGAGGGGGGAAAAGAACAAGCAGGAAUUCCUUCAGUCGUACUCAGCUCCUAAACGACAACUGCUUCCUUUUGUUCACACACUGCCCCUUUCCAACGCUGCUGCUCUCAGACCCUCUGAGCAUGACCCCCGGCCGAUACCACAGCUCUCAGGGAGCAGGUAUCACUCCCCAGCUGGAGCAUCCUACAAAAUUAUGCAACCCCAGCUCGUCAAGUUCCUCUUCGCACAAGGCUUCGCUAGGAGACCAGCUCACGCACAUGAUUCAAGUGUUCUCCCAGCGACAUUUCCGAACCAACCACAGCGUAGCCAGGGAGUCGAUGACAUUUCGGGUGAACUGAACAGGGGAGAAAAAGCCUGAGUCUUUGGACGACGAUGCCUAUCACAGAGCGCAGCCCCCGGCCUGCUCACGCUGAGGUGCGGAGGAGACAACUUAAGGACCCGCGCUAAGUAAAAAGCUGCAAUCAAAUGAGCAACGGCAUCAAAAGGAGAAAAAAAGAUGCCAGUGUGCAGUGAUCUACAAGACGCUUGAAAUUACAUAAUGCUUCCAAAAGUGACACUCCUGUCCCAGAAAGGGCCCCGGGCGCAGGGAUAUCCGUGGGGUCUGUUUGCAUCAGGCACGAAGCAAAAAUAUCCCAGCGGCUGCAUGAAUGGGAAGGAUCCAAAUUUGGAUGCUCUAAAAACAAGCUGCUCUCAGCCUACAGCCUUUUGGUUUCAAAGUGCCAGGUCUCGGGAGGGGGAAGCGCCUCCCUGCCGAAUGGGGCGCUCGGGCAGGCCGGCGCUGCCGGGAGAGGAGCAGCGAGGGCGGCAGGCCCUUCCCCGGCCCAAGCGCAGGUGCAAAGACUGAACACCAGAAGGAAAGAAAAACCAAUGUGUUUUUAGAGCGCCCCCCUGCCGAAUGGGGCGCUCGGGCAGGCCGGCGCUGCCGGGAGAGGAGCAGCGAGGGCGGCAGGCCCUUCCCCGGCCCAAGCGCAGGUGCAAAGACUGAACACCAGAAGGAAAGAAAAACCAAUGUGUUUUUAGACUUCCUGCCUGCAGGCCGGGACUCUGGGGGGGAGCCGGGGAGCCCGAGCCGGCAGCCUUGGAGGGACGUGGGCACCCAGCGGCCCUUGGUGCUCACCCCUGCGUGCUGGUUACCCCGGGGGGGUCUCGUUUGCACUGAUCCG